This 468-nucleotide ribosomal RNA is filed under the name uncultured bacterium. Its description in RNAcentral is "partial 16S ribosomal RNA". It matches the Rfam family "Bacterial small subunit ribosomal RNA", at positions 28 to 507 of the family's 1533-position model. The record is from RNAcentral.
GACGAACGCUGGCGGCGUGCUUAACACAUGCAAGUCGAACGGAAAGGCCCUGCUUUUGUGGGGUGCUCGAGUGGCGAACGGGUGAGUAACACGUGAGUAACCUGCCCUUGACUUUGGGAUAACUUCAGGAAACUGGGGCUAAUACCGGAUAGGAGCUCCUGCUGCAUGGUGGGGGUUGGAAAGUUUCGGCGGUUGGGGAUGGACUCGCGGCUUAUCAGCUUGUUGGUGGGGUAGUGGCUUACCAAGGCUUUGACGGGUAGCCGGCCUGAGAGGGUGACCGGCCACAUUGGGACUGAGAGACGGCCCAGACUCCUACGGGAGGCAGCAGGGGGGAAUAUUGCAAAAUGGGCGGAAGCCUGAUGCAGCAACGCCGCGUGCGGGAUGACGGCCUUCGGGUUGUAAACCGCUUUCGCCUGUGACGAAGCGUGAGUGACGGUAAUGGGUAAAGAAGCACCGGCUAACUACGUG